RNAcentral lists this ribosomal RNA (253 nucleotides) under uncultured bacterium. RNAcentral's name for it is "partial 16S ribosomal RNA". It matches the Rfam family "Bacterial small subunit ribosomal RNA", at positions 524 to 776 of the family's 1533-position model. The record is from RNAcentral.
UACGGAGGGUGCUAGCGUUGUUCGGAAUCACUGGGCGUAAAGGGCGUGUAGGCGGUCUGUUAAGUCUGAUGUGAAAUCCCCUCGCUCAACGAGGGAACUGCGUCGGAUACUGGCAGACUUGAGUACCGGAGAGGAAGGUGGAAUUCCCGGUGUAGAGGUGAAAUUCGUAGAUAUCGGGAGGAACACCAGCGGCGAAGGCGGCGAUCUGGGGCGAUACUGACGCUGAGGUGCGAAAGCGUGGGGAGCAAACAGG